CGACCCUAGCUAAGGUGAGAACACUCGCUGAGUUUAAUCAUAUAAUUAACCAGAGGAAAAGAAACUUACAAGGAUUCCCCUAGUAAUGAUGAGCAAACCGGGAAGAGCCCAACAUGAAAAUUGGGUGGCAGCGCUACCUGAAUUGUAGUUUGUAGAAGAAUCCUUAGCGGUGGACCAGGCCCAAGUCCCCUGGAAGGGCACGCCUGAGAGGGUGAUAGCCCCAUCGGGUUGGGACCCUAUCACACCAUGAGGAGUUGUCAGCGAGUUGGGUUGUUUGGGAAUGCAGCCCUAAUCGGGUGGUAAAUUAUGUCCAAGGAUAAAUACAGGUGAGAGAAUGAUAGAGAACAAGUACCGUGAGGGAAAGAUGAAAAGGAAUUUGAAAAGAGAGUUAAAGAGUGCUUAAAAUUGUCAGGAGGGAAGCAGAUGGAGGUUGGCAAUGUGUCUCGAUCAGAUGUGGAACGACUCAAGCUGGUCCAUCGCUCGACUUGAGGUGCGAACUAGCACAUGCCAUUGCAUCGGCACAAGCACGAAUGGAGUACCACCUUUUGGCUUUCCAUUGUGGCGGUCGAGGAAUGAAGUGUGCGCCCCUUGGGGCGGGCCACUGUGCACCUGCACACUUGUGGGGUUGGUUGGUGGGAUUUUCAUUCAUCCUGUAUUGAAACAUGGAUCAGGGAGUAUAACAUGUGUGUGAUUCAGUGGGUUUGUAAAAUUUUGAGGUGUAAGGAAGUUGAUGGGAGAGAUCCACUCUCCAUGGGGUGCAUUUCCAACCAACCUUGAGCUUGUGCGAAGGAUUUGAGUGUGAGCACACCUGUUGGGACCUGAAAUAUGGUGAACUAUGCCUGAGCAGGGUGAAUCCAAAGGAAACUCUGGUGGAGGUCUGUAGUGAUAUUGGCAUGCAAAUCAUACGUUUGACUUGGGUAUAGGGGAAGAAGACUAAUCGAACCAUAUAGUAGCUAGUUUCCUCCUAAGUUUCCCUCAGGAUAGAUGGAGCUCACGUGCGAGUUUUAUCGAGCAAAGAAAAUUAUUAGAGGCAUCGGGGGCAUAACGCCCUCAACCUAUUAUCAAACUUUAUAAAGGUAAGACAGUGUGGCUGCUCCACUGAGACAUUCCAUGGAAUUGAGAGCUCCAAGUGGGCCAUUUUUGGUAAGAAGAACUGGCGAUGUGGGAUGAACCCAAAUUCAAGUUACGGUGCCAAACUACGUGCUAACCUAGAUCCCACAAAGGGUGUUGGUUGAUUAAGACAACAGGACGAUGGUAAUGGAAGUCGAAAUCCACUAAGGAGUGUGUAAAAACUCACCUGUCGAAUCAACUAGCCCUGAAAAUGGAUGGCGCUAAAGAGCGCGACCUAUACUCAACUAUCGGAGCAAUUGUUAGGCUUCGAUGAGUAGGAGGAUGUAGGGUUCAUUGAGAAACCUUGGGCAUGAGCCUGGGUGGACCGGUCCCCGAUGCAGAUCUUGGUGGUAGUAGAACAUAUUCAAAUGAGAACUUUGAAUAUUGAAGUGGGGAAAGGUUCCAUGUGAACAACACUUGGACAUGGGUUAGUCGAUCCUAAGAUAUGGGGAAUCCAUGUAUCAAGGGUGCACUCUGCAUGAACAUCCAAAGGGACUUGGUUUAAUAUUCCUGAACCGAGACAUGGCAGUGGACGAAAACGUUAGGAAAUCCAGAGACGUCAUCGGGGGCCCCGAGAAGAGUUAUAUUUUCUUUUUAAUAGCUUGCCCACCCUGAAAUUGACUCAACCAAAGAUAGGGUCCAACAGCUGGAAGAGCAUAGCAUGUAUUGUGGUUUUCAGUGCACCCUUAAUGACCCUUGAAAAUAUAGAGGACCGAGUACCGUCCAUGCCCGAUCGUACUCAUAACUGCAUCAGGUCUCCAAGGUGAACAACCUCUAGUCAAUAGAAAAAUGUAGGUAAGAGAAGUCGACAAAAUGGAUCUAUAAAUUUGGGAAAAGGAUUAGCUCUGAGGGCUGGGCCUAGGGGUCUGCGUCCUCAACCCAUGGGAUGUCAACAGUCUUCCUAAUUAGGCUAUGGACGUAGAAUGUCCCCUCGCAGGGGAUUUUCCCUAGGCAACAAACAAUCGACUCAGAACUAGUAUGGACAAGGGGAAUCCGACUGUUUAAUUAAAACAAAGCAUUGUGAUGGUCACUGCAUAUGCUGAUGCAAUGUGAUUUCUACCCAGUGCUCUGAAUGUCAAAGUGAAUAAAUUCAACCAAUCAUGGGUAAACAACGAGAGUAACUAUGACUCUCUUAAAGUAGCCAAAUGCCUUGUCAUCUAAUUAGUGACACACAUGAAUGGAUUAACGAGAUUCCCACUAUCCCUAUCUACUAUCUAGAGAAACCAUAGCCAAGGGAAUGGGCUUGGCAGAAUUAGUGGGGAAAGAAGACCCUGUUUAGACCCUGUUGAGCUUGGAUCUAGUCUGACUUUGUGAAAUGACUUGAGAUGUGUAGAAUAAGUGGGAGCUGUUUUUGGUGCAAGUGAAAUACCACUACUUCUAACUUUAUUUUACUUAUUCUGUGGGGUGGAUAUGGGGUAUCGUCCUUGUUUUUGGCCUUAAGACAUGUUUCGACAGGUCAAUCUAGGUGGAAGACAUUUUCAGGUGGGGAUUUUGGAUGGGGCGACACAUCUGUUAAAAGAUAACAUAGGUGUCCUAAGAUGAUCUCAACGAGAAAAAAAAUGUCAUGUGGAACAAAAGGGUAAAAGAUCAUUUGAUUUUGAUUUUCAGUACGAAUACAAACCGUGAAAGCAUGGUCUAUCGAUCCUUAGACUUUAGGAAUUUUAAGCUAGAGGUGUCAAAAAAGUUACCACAGGGAUACCUGUCUUGUGGCAUCCAAGCAUUUAUAGCGACAUUGCUUUUUUAUCCUUCGAUGUCGGCUCUUCCUAUCAUUCUGAAGAAGAAUUCACCAAGUGUUGGAUUGUUCACCCACCAAUAGUGAACGUGAGAUGGGUUUAGACUAUUGUGAGAUAGGUUAGUUUUACCCUACUGAUGAAACACGCCGCAAUAGUAAUUCAACUUAGUACGAGAGGAACCAUUGAUUCACACAAUUUAUCAUCGUGCUUGCUUGAAAAUUUAGUGGCACGAAGCUACCAUGUGUUGGAUUAUGAUUGAAUGCCUCUAAGUCAGAAUCCAUGCUAGAAGUGGUGCUUGUCACUCCUCAACUGUAUAUUGACCCACAGUAGGGGUGUCACUUCUUCACCCCUAGGGGCCUAUGUCACUUGCAAACCUCAGCUGGGAAGUGCCUCAGUUGGGGCAACUUUGAAGUUCAAUUUCAAACAGUCAUUGAGAAGAAUCCUUUGCAGAAGACUUACAUACACGACGAGGUAUUGUAAGUGGCAGAGUGGCCUUGCUACCACGAUCCACUAAGAUUCAUCCCUUCGUCACCUCAAUUCAU
Molecule: non-coding RNA, 3385 nt
Organism: Picea glauca (white spruce)
Lineage: Eukaryota; Viridiplantae; Streptophyta; Pinopsida; Pinales; Pinaceae
Source: Rfam